UUUUAAUUUACUUUUACAGAAACCUCAAUUUGUAAUGGAAUCAGCAGGUACUGUUCAUUUUGGAAUUUUCACUGAGUAAAAAUACAAUUCAAAGUAAAUAAAAAUAAUGAAAAGAGAUUAUCUGCCCCACAGUAACGAGACUCUCCUGUCCGCUGGACUCGUGAGCGCCCCAUGUAGUGCGGACCUGCAGCAGUACGCUUGCUCUUCGCUCACAGGCUUCACUGCUGGAAACCUGGCUGGACUCCUGAAGUGUCAACUAUCCAGCAGCAGAAGUUACUCCAAGGAGAUCUGGAAACUGCUUUUCACCAAAGCAAAUGAUGUUCUGGACGGAGCCCUCGUCAUCUUCUCCAGCGCAGCAGCAAAUAUGUCUCAGCCAAUCAGAGGUGAUGUCGUGUCCCAAGUGCUGGAUGUGAUUGGAGAGCUGAGACUGGAGCGCAUCAGUCCUGACCAAUGGCGAGACCUCCCUUUCAUCAGCAUGUUGUUGGGUCAAUAUCUGAAGCCGUUUUUACCGUUUGCGUCAUCAUCCCUACUGCUGUGCACUAGCAGCAAAAAAACCUCAGCUGCCAAACUUACCAGCACAUGUAAGAAAAAGAUUUCCUCAACAAUAGCUCAAGACUGUCAUGAGCUGAUAAGAUGCUUGUUCAACAUUAUUUUUCAACCAUUUCUCAGUCUGUCAGAGGUCACACUCGUCAAUGAGACUCAAGGAAGAAACAUGGUGAACUUCUUCAUUCUGCCCUUCCUCAGAAGAAACACAACAGGUGAGGUGGAGGUUCACAGAUGUUUCAUAUGAAGGUUCUGGAGUUCAUGAAGGUGAUUUCACUGUGUGUGUUGUGUGUGUCAGAUGCGGGCUGUGUGUCGACUGCUAACAACAGUGUUGAGUGGCUGCAGAAGAACUUUUGGCCCGUUCUCUCAGUUUGUGCCUCUCACAGAUCUGCUCUCCAUCAACAGACUCUUUGAUCCCGUAUGUCUCCACAUCUUCACAUGUGAUUUCAUCAAAGAAGGUUUAUACAAAUAACACUGACAUCACUUCACCCGUCACCGAUAUUCUCUUGUUCUUCUGUGUGUCUUUAGUUGGAGACCCUGGACAAUCUCACUCCAAAGCAGGUGGCUGGACUGAUGGUUGAAGAUCUACCUGGCCUACCAGAGAAGGAAGUCGUCAUCAAUUCAGUGUUCGACUAUCUGCUUGUGUCUCCUGUGGAGCGAGGACUUCGUGAUGUUCUUCAAAACCUGCUCUCAAUCUCACAGAUGGUAAAAAUUUACACAGUUGUUCUCGAUGGCUCUUUGCAAACCCUAGUCUGAUGCCUCAGGGUUUCGUCUUUGCAUGUGGUUUGUCUUAAAUGAUAUUUAAAGUAAAUCUGCAGUGGUCAAAUACGUGAGUUUGAUGAAUCAUAUGUGUGACAACAGCACUGAUGCUUGUUUGUGUUUCUACAGGCCAUUAUUCCGUGCAGCUCCUACAUACUGAUGUAAGUGCAUUUGGUACAUGAUAUUGAGUCUCUGGCGUCUCUUGCACUGAGAUCUGCUGUAAUUCUGCUGUUCUUUCUCAGAUUCCAGAGGCUGUUUCAGGCUUUACCUUCCCUGCCUACAGAGGUGGAGACUUUGAUCUUGCACACAACUGGAGAACUCAAGCAGAAUGGAGCAAGAGGUUAUCCUUGAUCUUCCUCACUUCUUGCUGUUGAAUCCUCUAGAAGAUCAGCAUGUUUCUAAUUACUUCAGAUGGAAUUAAUUAAUAAAUGUUUGUCUUACUUUCAGACUGUUCACUUCCUGAACCUCCAACAGUAAGAGUUUGUUUUUAGCAUACGUUCCAUCUCUGUCUUGUUCAGUCC
Long non-coding RNA from Cyprinus carpio carpio, 1823 nucleotides. The record is from Ensembl. NCBI's taxonomy places the organism in Eukaryota, Metazoa, Chordata, Actinopteri, Cypriniformes, Cyprinidae.